This 191-nucleotide small nuclear RNA is filed under the name Microtus ochrogaster (prairie vole). Its description in RNAcentral is "U2 spliceosomal RNA (ENSMOCG00000011920.1)". It matches the Rfam family "U2 spliceosomal RNA". Rfam says of the family: U2 is a small nuclear RNA (snRNA) component of the spliceosome (involved in pre-mRNA splicing). Lineage: Eukaryota; Metazoa; Chordata; Mammalia; Rodentia; Cricetidae. The record is from RNAcentral.
UUGACUUCUUGGCCUUUUGGCUGUGAUCAAAUGUAUUAUUUGUUCUUAUCAAUUUAUCAUGUGUUAUGUCCUCGGUCCAAGGAUAAAAACAAAACUUAAAUGGUUUUUUUGGAGAAGAACGAUGGAACGGAGCAUGUCCAUUCCACUGGUCGAUCUGGCAAUGUGAUUUCUCCUCAUAUGGUACACACCCU